Molecule: long non-coding RNA, 3437 nt
Filed under: Sus scrofa (pig)
Lineage: Eukaryota; Metazoa; Chordata; Mammalia; Artiodactyla; Suidae
Description: lncRNA (ENSSSCG00030041025.1)
Source: RNAcentral
GCCAGCCUACGCCAGAGCCACAGCAACGCCAGAUCCGAAUUGUGUGUGCAACCCACACCACAGCUCACGGCAAUGCCGGAUCCUUAACCCACUGAGCAAGGCCAGGGACCAAACCCACAACCUCAUGGUUCCUAGUGGGUUUCGUUUCUGCUGCGCCACGACAGGAACUCCUGUUGCUCUUUUCAAAGAACCAGCUUUUCGUUUCAUUAAUCUUUUCUAUGGUUUGGUUCCUUUUUUAUUUCAUUGAUUUCUGCUCUGAUCUUUAUGAUUCCUUUCCUCCUACUAACAUUAGGUCUUGUCUGUUCUCUCGCGAGCUGCAUGAGAUGUAAAGUUAGGUUGUUUAUUUGAGCUUUUUCUUGUUUCCUGAGGUGGGCGGGCUUGUCUUGCUAUAAACUUUCCUCUUAGAACGGCUUUUGCUGCAUCCCAUAGGUUUUGGAGUGUCGUCUCUUCAUUGUCAUUGGCUUCUGGGAAUUUUUAAAUUUCCUCUUUGAUUUCUUCAGUGAUCCAUUGGUUGUUUAGUAGCAUGUUGUUUAGUCUCCACGUGUGUGUUUUUUGCGGAUUUUUUUCUUGUUGUUGAUUUCCAGUCAUUUAGCGUUGGGGUCGGAAAAGAUGCUUGAUAUGAUUUCAGUUUUCUUAAAGUUACCGAGGUUUGCUUUGUAGCCCAGGAUGGGAUCAAUCUUAGAGAACGUUCCAUGUGCACUUGAGAAGAAUGUGUGUUCCGUAGCUUCUGGAUGGAAUGUCCUAUAAACAUCUAUGAAGUCCAUCUGGUCUAAUGCUUCAUUCAGAACCUGUGUUUCUGUAUUGAUUUUCUGUCUGGAUGAUCUGUCCAUUGCUGUAAGUGGGGUGUUAAAGUCCCCCGCUAUGACUGUGUUAUUGUUGAUUUGCCCUUUUAAGGUUAUUAGCAGUUGCCUUACAUAUCGUGGUGAACCUAGGUUGGGUGUGUGGAUAUUUAAAAUUGUUUUAUCUUCUUCUUGGAUUGAUCCUUGGAUCGUUAGGUAGUGACCUUGCUUGUCCCUUAAAAUGUUCUUCAAUUUAAAGUCUAUUUUGUCUGAUAUGAGUAUUGCUACUCCAGCUUUCUUUUGAUUCCCGUUUGCAUGGACUAUUUUCUUCCAUCCUCUCCCUUUCAAUUUGUCUGUGUCCCUAGGAGUGAAGUGGGUCUCUUGAAGACAGCGUAUAUAUGGGUCUUGAUUUUGCAUCCAUUCAGCCAGUCUCUGUCUUUUGGCUGGGGCGUUUCAUCCAUUAACACUUAAGGCAAUUAUUAUUAUUUUGUUGUUGUCUUUUUGCCAUUUCUUGGGCCGCUCCCGAGCAUAUGGAGGUUCCCAGGUUAGGGGUCGAGUUGGAGCUUUAGCUGCUGGCCUACACCAGAGCCACAGCAACGCGGGAUCUGAGCCGCGUCUGCGACCUGCACCGACCUGCACCACAGCUCGCGGCCAGGCUGGAUCCUUAACCCUCUGAGCAAGUCCAGGGGUCAAACCCACAACCUCAUGGUUCCUAGGUGGAUUCGUUAACCACUGAGCCAUGAUGGGAACUCCUUGAGGUAAUUAUUGAUAGGUAUGUUCUCAUUGCCAUCGUAUUCAUUGCUUUGGAUUUGUUUUUGUUGCUCUUUUUUCUUCCCUUCUUCUCUUGUUCUCUCCUCUUGUGGUUUGAGGACCAUCUUUAGUGUUGUACUUCAGUUGAUUUUUCUUAUUUGUUUGUGUAUCAAUUGUAGACUUUUGGUUUGCAGUUAUUCUGGAGUUUUGAUGUAACAGCCUCUAUAGAUACGAGAUUGUCUCAAGUCGUUGGUCUCUUAAUUGCAAGUGCAUCUCCAGUGUCCUGCAUUUGUACCCUCCUCGUCUCACAAUUUCGGAUGGUGGUGGCAUAGUUGUGCAUGGAUGAUUUUGUGUCUUUACUGUAUAUAUACGUUUACUGGUGAGUCUUGUCAUUGGUGGUAUUUUUGUUUCUGAUUGCGGCCUUUUCUUUUCUGUCUAGAGAAGUUCCUUUAGUACUUGUCGUAAAGCUGGUUUAGUGGUGCGGAAUUCUCUCAGCUUUUGCUGAUCCGUGAAGCUUUUGAUUUCUCCUUCAAGUCUGAAUGAGAGCCUUGCUGGGUAAAGUAAUCCUGGUUGGAGGUCUUUUCCUUUCAACACGUUAAGUAUAUCAUGCCACUCCCUUCUGGCCUGCAGAGUUUCUGCUGAAAAAUCUGGGGAUAACCUUACCGGGCUUCCCUUGUAUGUUAUUUGUUUCUUUUCCCUAGCUGCUUUCAAGAUUGUCUCUUUGUCUUUAAUUUUGGUCAGCUUGAUUAAUAUGUGUCUCGGGGUGUUCCUCCUUGGGUUUAUUUUAUAUGGUACUCGCUGCGCUGCCUGGAUUUGAGUGAGUGGUUCCUUUCCCAUGUGAGGGAAGUUUUCGGCUAUUAUCUGUUGGAGUGCUUUCUCUGUCCGCUUCUCUCUCUCUUCUCCUUCUGGCACCCCAUAAUAAGGAUGUUGGUGCGUUUAACGUCGUCCCAGAGUUCUCUGAGACUCUUCAUUUGUUUUCAAUCUUUUUUCUCUUUUCUGUUCCGCAUCCGUGAUUUCCACUAAUCUGUCCUCCACCUCGCUUCUUUGUUCUUCUGCCUCCUGGAUUCUGCUGUUGGUUGCUUCUAGUGAAUUUUUUUAUUUCAGUUAUUGAUUUUGCAUCUCUUCUUAAGUUUCAUAUCUUGUAUCUCUUUGCUCGGUGUUUCCUGAAAGUUAUCCAUCUUUGCCUCCAGUUUAUUUCCAAUGUCUUGCAUCCUCUUCAGCAUCUUUUUCCUGGAGGCUGAGACUCUCCUGACCCCUUAGCUGAUUUUCUGGGGGUUUUCCUUUCUCCCUCCUCUGAGUUAUACUUCUCUGUCUUUUCAUUUUUAUUCGUUUUUGGUGUGGUGACCUUUUUACAGAUAAUAGAGCUGUAGCCUCUCUCACUUCUGGUGUCCGCCCCCCUGGUGGCUGAAGUUGGUAUGGGGGCUUGCUGUAGGCUUCCUGAUGGGGGAGGGACUGGUGCCUGCCCACUGGUAGGUGGCCUGAUUCCUAUCCCUCUGGUGUGUGGGGCUUUAUCUCUGGAUGGGAUUAGAGGCGGCUGUGUGCCAGGGGGGCCUUUAGGAAGCCUGUUUACUGCUGGGUGGGGCUUUGAUCCCACCUGGAUUGUUGUUUGGCCUGGGGCUUCUCAGUGCUGAUGGGAGGGGCCAUAUUUUCCCAAAAUGGCCACCUCCAGAGAAAGGCACACUGCAGAAUAUUCCCCAGAGCUUUGCUUCCAAUGUCCUUUUCCCACAGCAACCCACAUUCACCCCUGUUUUCCCAGGAGGUCCUCAAAGAACUGCAGUCCGGUUUGACCCAGAUUCCCGUGGAGACUUUGCUUUGUCCUGGGACCCAAGAAUGGGGUCUCCGUUUCCCCCAGUCCCGUGGAGCUCCUGUGCACAAGCCCCACUGGCCUUCAACGCCAGAUGCUCUGGG